Molecule: small RNA, 106 nt
Filed under: Sinorhizobium meliloti 2011
Lineage: Bacteria; Pseudomonadati; Pseudomonadota; Alphaproteobacteria; Hyphomicrobiales; Rhizobiaceae
Description: putative ncRNA
Source: RNAcentral
GUAGGGGGCGCUGUUGUUCUCGAAACGGCUCUUCCAAUCGGCUGGGAUCUUGCCGCUUUCCUUGGCGAUCGCGUCGAUGUCCGCUUCGAGUGCCAGCGUCACGACG